CCUACGGGGGGCAGCAGUGGGGAAUAUUGGACAAUGGGGGCAACCCUGAUCCAGCCAUGCCGCGUGUGUGAAGAAGGCCCUCGGGUUGUAAAGCACUUUCAGUGAGGAAGAACGCCUGGUGGUUAAUACCCAUCAGGAAAGACAUCACUCACAGAAGAAGCACCGGCUAACUCCGUGCCAGCAGCCGCGGUAAUACGGAGGGUGCGAGCGUUAAUCGGAAUUACUGGUCGUAAAGCGCGCGUAGGUGGCUUGAUAAGCCGGUUGUGAAAGCCCCGGGCUCAACCUGGGAACGGCAUCCGGAACUGUCAAGCUAGAGUGCAGGAGAGGAAGGUAGAAUUCCCGGUGUAGAGGUGAAAUGCGUAGAGAUCGGGAGGAAUACCAGUGGCGAAGGCGGCCUUCUGGACUGACACUGACACUGAGGUGCGAAAGCGUGGGUAGCAAACAGGAUUAGAUACCCCAGUAGUC
RNAcentral lists this ribosomal RNA (465 nucleotides) under Vreelandella stevensii. RNAcentral describes it as "partial 16S ribosomal RNA". It matches the Rfam family "Bacterial small subunit ribosomal RNA", at positions 338 to 795 of the family's 1533-position model. Lineage: Bacteria; Pseudomonadati; Pseudomonadota; Gammaproteobacteria; Oceanospirillales; Halomonadaceae. The record is from RNAcentral.